This 584-nucleotide small RNA is filed under the name Phomopsis sp. KK-KP-V2-5. Its description in RNAcentral is "eukaryotic LSU rRNA". The stretch from base 200 to 355 matches the Rfam family "5.8S ribosomal RNA". The record is from RNAcentral. Lineage: Eukaryota; Fungi; Ascomycota; Sordariomycetes; Diaporthales; Diaporthaceae.
GAGGGACUUUGUGCUGAACGCGCCUAGGCGCACCCCAGAAACCCUUUGUGAACUUAUACCUUACUGUUUGCUUGGGCCGCUUGCUGGUUCUUCACAGGCCCUUUGCUUCACAGGCAAAGAGACGGCACGGCGGGCCGGCCCAAAUCAACCUCCUGUUUUUACAACCUGAAACUCUGAGAAAAAACACAAAAUGAAUCAAAACUUUCAACAACGGGAUCUCUUGGUUCUGGCAUCGAUGAAGAACGCCAGCGAAAUGCGAUAAGUAAUGUGAAUUGCAGAAUUCAGUGAAUCAUCGAAUCUUUGAACGCACAUUGCGCCCUCUGGUAUUCCGGAGGGCAUGCCUGUUCGAGCGUUCCAUUUCAACCCUCAAGCAUUGCUUGGUGUUGGGGGCAACUGCUUUAACCAAGCAGGCCCCUGAAAUCUAGUGGCAGAGCUCGCACAGGACCCCGAGCGCAGGUAAGAUUAACCCUCAGCUCUGGAAGGCCCUGGCGGUGCCUGACCGUUAAAACACCCCAACUUCUGAAAAUUUGACCAUCGGAUCGUAGGAAUACCCGAUGACUUAGCCUAUCAAAUAAGCGAGAAAA